Molecule: small nucleolar RNA, 137 nt
Organism: Ornithorhynchus anatinus (platypus)
Lineage: Eukaryota; Metazoa; Chordata; Mammalia; Monotremata; Ornithorhynchidae
Source: RefSeq, a predicted model, not a curated record
CCCCUCUCAGGGUUGCACCUGGAGAGUUUCCAGUACUCUACCACUCUCGGCUACCAGAGGGAGAGUCAAGCAGAGCCUACCCAUUCCAUUCCUAUAUUGGGCAGUGGCUAGCGAGUGGAAGGCAAUCUGAUACAAGU